RNAcentral lists this ribosomal RNA (477 nucleotides) under uncultured soil bacterium. RNAcentral's name for it is "bacterial SSU rRNA". It matches the Rfam family "Bacterial small subunit ribosomal RNA", at positions 26 to 480 of the family's 1533-position model. The record is from RNAcentral.
AGAUUGAACGCUGGCGGCAUGCCUAACACAUGCAAGUCGAACGGCAGCGCGGGUAGCAAUACCUGGCGGCGAGUGGCGGACGGGUGAGGAAUACAUAGGAAUCUACCCUGUCGUGGGGGGAUAACGUAGGGAAACUUACGCUAAUACCGCAUACGACCGAGAGGUGAAAGCGGCGGACCGCAAGGCGUCGCGCGGCUGGAUGAGCCUAUGUCCGAUUAGCUAGUUGGCGGGGUAAGAGCCCACCAAGGCGACGAUCGGUAGCUGGUCUGAGAGGAUGAUCAGCCACACUGGGACUGAGACACGGCCCAGACUCCUACGGGAGCAGCAGUGGGGAAUAUUGGACAAUGGGCGCAAGCCUGAUCCAGCAAUCGCCGGCGUGUGUGAAAGAACGGCCGUUGGGUACGUAAAGACACUUUUAGGUUGGGUAAAGAAAAGACACGUAGGUUAAUUACCCUAGGUCGUUGUGUAACGGUAACC